This 617-nucleotide ribosomal RNA is filed under the name uncultured bacterium. RNAcentral's name for it is "bacterial SSU rRNA". The stretch from base 1 to 523 matches the Rfam family "Bacterial small subunit ribosomal RNA", at positions 338 to 873 of the family's 1533-position model. The record is from RNAcentral.
CCUACGGGAGGCAGCAGUGAGGAAUUUUCCGCAAUGGGCGAAAGCCUGACGGAGCAAUACCGCGUGAGGGAUGAAGGAUUUUGGUCUGUAAACCUCUUUUCUCAAGAAAGAAGUUCUGACGGUACUUGAGGAAUAAGCAUCGGCUAACUCCGUGCCAGCAGCCGCGGUAAUACGGGGGAUGCAAGCGUUAUCCGGAAUGAUUGGGCGUAAAGCGCCUGUAGGUUGUUUAUUAAGUCCGUUGUUAAAGCCUAGGGCUCAACCCUAGAAAAGCAAUGGAAACUAGUAGACUAGAGUAUGGCAGGGGUAGAGGGAAUUUCUAGUGUAGCGGUGAAAUGCGUAGAUAUUAGAAAGAACACCGGUGGCGAAAGCGCUCUACUGGACCAUUACUGACACUCAGAGGCGAAAGCUAGGGUAGCAAAAGGGAUUAGAUACCCCUGUAGUCCUAGCCGUAAACGAUGGAUACUAGAUGUUGUGCAUUAUGUACUAGUAUACGUAGACUACGUACGUUAACGUUACUACCGUCCCGGGGUACGGUACGUCGUCGCGAGGUAGGAACGUACAAAGAAGUUAGUACGGCGUGAGACGUGCCGAACGGACGACCGACGACGGGGAGGAGG